This 464-nucleotide ribosomal RNA is filed under the name uncultured bacterium. RNAcentral describes it as "partial 16S ribosomal RNA". It matches the Rfam family "Bacterial small subunit ribosomal RNA", at positions 28 to 507 of the family's 1533-position model. The record is from RNAcentral.
GACGAACGCUGGCGGCGUGCUUAACACAUGCAAGUCGAACGGAAAGGCCCUGCUUGCAGGGUACUCGAGUGGCGAACGGGUGAGUAACACGUGGGUGAUCUGCCCUGCACUUCGGGAUAAGCCUGGGAAACUGGGUCUAAUACCGGAUAGGAGCCAUUUUUAGUGUGAUGGUUGGAAAGUUUUUUCGGUGUAGGAUGAGCUCGCGGCCUAUCAGCUUGUUGGUGGGGUAAUGGCCUACCAAGGCGGCGACGGGUAGCCGGCCUGAGAGGGUGGACGGCCACAUUGGGACUGAGAUACGGCCCAGCCUCCUACGGGAGGCAGCAGUGGGGAAUAUUGCACAAUGGGCGCAAGCCUGAUGCAGCGACGCCGCGUGGGGAUGACGGCCUUCGGGUUGUAAACUCCUUUCGCUAGGGACGAAGCUUUUUGUGACGGUACCUAGAGAAGAAGCACCGGCUAACUACGUG